UUUGCCAAUGACGCUGCCGGCGGCAGAAGUUCAGAGAUACGUGCAUGCGGAGUUCGCAGAUGGGCUGUGUGGUGCUUUCGAUGAUGCUGUCUGUGUUUGUCAUGUGCACGCCGGCACCGUUAGUCCCGUCGUUGGCUAGGCAGGGCACUGCUCGACUCUGUGGACCUUCUCUGGGUCCAACAGAGCAAACACUUGCUGCAGGUGGGUACCAGACACACCCUGUCCAGCGACAGGGGAUCACAGGGAGAGGGAAGAGGGCCUGCCAAGUUCAGAUUUUAUUCUGACGAAGUUCACCAGGAGCCUCUUGUCAAUGAUAACCUGCUGUUGCAUUGCAGCAUGUUGUAUCCCACCAGGAAGUUCGCCAUGCGGGCGUCGGGAGUCAACACGUCUUUGAAUUGUGAAGGGAUAGCUGGACUCCCUGAGUUGCCUCUGAACUCCUCCUCGCCGCCGUGUUCUGAGAAGUUCGGUUGGCAUUGUCUUUACGGCGAAGGAGGGAGGUCACGUUCCUGUAAAAAAGGAGAGGGGAAAAUGGCAGUGAUACACUUGUUUAUUUUAAACAGUUGGUGCACUUGAUAUGGAGUUCACUGGGUGAUCGAAGCUAGCAUGAAGUUUACUUAUACUACUUUGUGGAGUUCACUUCUCCUAUUCGUGAUGUUCAUGUAUCCUGAUGCUUCACUUUAGAUUUUCCCUACUAGAUGGAUUUUCAUUUGAGUCUGCUAGAUGAAUUAUUUCCGAAGUUCACUUCCAAUGUUUGUGCUGCGGGGUGGAUAAUUUCUGUAUAUAAACUAUGUGUUAAGUUAACUGUUAUGUAUCUGGUGGAGUAGUACACUUAUUUGUGAAAAAGAUGUGCAGCCUCC
Lolium rigidum is the source of this 857-nucleotide long non-coding RNA. RefSeq lists it as uncharacterized. NCBI's taxonomy places the organism in Eukaryota, Viridiplantae, Streptophyta, Magnoliopsida, Poales, Poaceae. The transcript has 4 exons. The record is from RefSeq and is a predicted model, not a curated record.